AACGAACGCUGGCGGCAUGCCUAACACAUGCAAGUCGAACGAGACCUUCGGGUCUAGUGGCGCACGGGUGAGUAACGCGUGGGAACCUGCCCUUAGGUUCGGAAUAACUCCCCGAAAGGGGUGCUAAUACCGGAUAAUGUCUUCGGACCAAAGAUUUAUCGCCUUUGGAUGGGCCCGCGUUGGAUUAGCUAGUUGGUAGGGUAAAAGCCUACCAAGGCGACGAUCCAUAGCUGGUCUGAGAGGAUGAUCAGCCACACUGGGACUGAGACACGGCCCAGACUCCUAUGGGAGGCAGCAGUGGGGAAUAUUGGACAAUGGGCGAAAGCCUGAUCCAGCAAUGCCGCGUGAGUGAUGAAGGCCUUAGGGUUGUAAAGCUCUUUUACCCGGGAUGAUAAUGACAGUACCGGGAGAAUAAGCUCCGGCUAACUCCGUG
This 433-nucleotide ribosomal RNA is filed under the name uncultured bacterium. Its description in RNAcentral is "partial 16S ribosomal RNA". It matches the Rfam family "Bacterial small subunit ribosomal RNA", at positions 29 to 507 of the family's 1533-position model. The record is from RNAcentral.